AUACAAAAUUUUACCAGUGCUAUUAAUGGAAGAAGGAAAUAUAAAAAGUAACUUUUCACAGAUAGCAUUUCAAUAAUAAAAAAAUGAUUUUGAACUUCUAUUAAUAAAGUCUUAUCCUUAACUCAUUGUUUCUUCAUGUUUUCAGGAGAAUCAAGAAUCAGAAACCCCAAAAAAGAAGAAAAAAGAAAAAAAAAAAACGAAAGUCAGAACAGUGGUUGAAGCCAUCGAAACGAAUGGAACAAACAACGAUGAAGAAACUGCUGAGCCUCCCAAGAAGAAGAAAAAGAAGAAGAAGGGAGAAAUGAAUGGAACUGCAGACGAAAGUGUUAACUUUAUGCAAAAUGACCUCGAAGAAAUGACAAAUGGGGUAAGAAGCUAGUAGCCCUACCAAGAAGAAAAAGAAAAAGAAUAAGCAAGGAUCAGUUGCUGUAGAAGAGAACGAAGAAAAUGAAGUUGUUGAGGCUGCAUCCCCGAAGAAGAAAAGAAGAAGAAGAAGAGUGCAGGCCUUGAAGAUGUAAUGAGCUGUAAGAUAUUUUUUGUUUCUGAACUUGUUAUUCCUGAAAGUAAAGGAGAAGAAAUGUCAAGGUUACUUUUAAAAUUCCACAGGAAACUUUGUUACUGUUUUUUUUAAAUCUGCUUUUAUCACCACUAUUAUGGGGCAACUAUUUGGAUCGCAAAAAGAUUUGAUGUUGGUUUAAUUUUGCUUUUACUAUGUCCGGUGCACGCAUCUACGCUCUGUAAGCCGUAAUUA
This 751-nucleotide long non-coding RNA is filed under the name Bemisia tabaci. Its description in RNAcentral is "lncRNA ENSSWEETPG003476". Lineage: Eukaryota; Metazoa; Arthropoda; Insecta; Hemiptera; Aleyrodidae. The record is from RNAcentral.